UUAACUCAGAACAGGUAGGAAUACCCUUCUUGGUCAUUUAGAGGAAGUAAAAGUCGUAACAAGGUCUCCGUUGGUGACCAGCGGAGGGAUCAUUACCGAGUGUAAAAACUCCCAAACCAUUGUGAACCUACCACUGUUGCUUCGGCGGCCUCGCCCCGGGCGCGUUCGCGCGGCCCGGACCCAGGCGUCCGCCGGAGGCUCCAAACUCUUGUCUUUUAGUGUAUUUCUGAGUGGCAUAAGCAAAUAAAUCAAAACUUUCAGCAACGGAUCUCUUGGUUCUGGCAUCGAUGAAGAACGCAGCAAAAUGCGAUAAGUAAUGUGAAUUGCAGAAUUCAGUGAAUCAUCGAAUCUUUGAACGCACAUUGCGCCCGCCAGUAUUCUGGCGGGCAUGCCUGUCUGAGCGUCAUUUCAACCCUCAGGACCCGUUCGCGGGACCUGGCGUUGGGGAUCAGCCUGCCCCUGGCGGCGGCUGGCCCUGAAAUCCAGUGGCGGUUCCCUCGCGAACUCCUCCGUGCAGUAAUUAAACCUCUCGCGGCAGGAUAGCGGUUGAACCACGCCGUUAAACCCCCCACUUCUCAAGGUGACCUCAGAUCAGGUAGGAAUACCCGCUGAACUUAAGCAUAUCAAUAAGCGGAGGAAAAGAAACCAACAGGGAUUGCCCUAGUAACGGCGAGUGAAGCGGCAACAGCUCAAAUUUGAAAUCUGGCCUCACGGUCCGAAUUGUAAUUUGUAGAGGAUGUUUCUGGCGACGUGUCUUCCGAGUUCCCUGGAACGGGACGCCAUAGAGGGUGAGAGCCCCGUCCGGUCGYACACCUAGCCUCUGUGAAACUCCUUCGACGAGUCGAGUAGUUUGGGAAUGCUGCUCUAAAUGGGAGGUAUACGUCUUCUAAAGCUAAAUACCGGCCAGAGACCGAUAGCGCACAAGUAGAGUGAUCGAAAGAUGAAAAGCACUUUGAAAAGAGGGUUAAAUAGUACGUGAAAUUGCUGAAAGGGAAGCGCUUAUGACCAGACUUGGGCUCGGGAAUCAUCCGGCGUUCUCGCCGGUGCACUUUGCCGUCCCAGGCCACAUCAGUUCGCGCCGGGGGAUAAAGGUUUCGGGAAUGUAGCUCCCUCGGGAGAGUUAUAACCCGUGCUGUAAUACCCUGGCGCGGACUGAGGUCCGCCUCUGAAGGAUGCUGGCGUAAUGGUCAUCAGUGACCCGUCUGAAACACGGACCACCUACCUGAUCUGAGGUCAACCUUGAGAAGUGGGGGGUUUAACGG
RNAcentral lists this ribosomal RNA (1262 nucleotides) under Acremonium sp. G246. RNAcentral describes it as "eukaryotic LSU rRNA". The stretch from base 582 to 1262 matches the Rfam family "Eukaryotic large subunit ribosomal RNA", at positions 1 to 722 of the family's 3401-position model. Lineage: Eukaryota; Fungi; Ascomycota; Sordariomycetes; Hypocreales; Bionectriaceae. The record is from RNAcentral.